GAUAUAACCACUGCCAGACUGA
RNAcentral lists this microRNA (22 nucleotides) under Mus musculus (house mouse). RNAcentral's name for it is "mmu-miR-344d-3p". Its record names the gene mmu-miR-344d-3p. The record is from miRBase by way of RNAcentral. Lineage: Eukaryota; Metazoa; Chordata; Mammalia; Rodentia; Muridae.